UGCCCCAUGGCUGAGUUGGUUACAGCGUCCGACUGUUAUACGAGGGGUUUCACCCUUCAAAGCAAUCGGAAGGUCGUGAGUUCGAGCCUCACUGGGGCAG
This is a non-coding RNA of Cerioporus squamosus, 100 nucleotides long. NCBI's taxonomy places the organism in Eukaryota, Fungi, Basidiomycota, Agaricomycetes, Polyporales, Polyporaceae. The record is from the annotation of a GenBank genome assembly.